RNAcentral lists this ribosomal RNA (439 nucleotides) under uncultured bacterium. RNAcentral describes it as "bacterial SSU rRNA". It matches the Rfam family "Bacterial small subunit ribosomal RNA", at positions 28 to 482 of the family's 1533-position model. The record is from RNAcentral.
GACGAACGCUGGCGGCGUGCUUAACACAUGCAAGUCGAACGGAAAGGCCCUGCUUGCAGGGUACUCGAGUGGCGAACGGGUGAGUAACACGUGGGUGAUCUGCCCUGCACUUCGGGAUAAGCCUGGGAAACUGGGUCUAAUACCGGAUAGGAGCCAUUUUUAGUGUGAUGGUUGGAAAGUUUUUCGGUGUAGGAUGAGCCCGCGGCCUAUCAGCUUGUUGGUGGGGUAAUGGCCUACCAAGGCGGCGACGGGUAGCCGGCCUGAGAGGGUGGACGGCCACAUUGGGACUGAGAUACGGCCCAGACUCCUACGGGAGGCAGCAGUGGGGAAUAUUGCACAAUGGGCGCAAGCCUGAUGCAGCGACGCCGCGUGGGGGAUGACGGCCUUCGGGUUGUAAACUCCUUUCGCUAGGGACGAAGCUUUUUGUGACGGUACCUAG